RNAcentral lists this ribosomal RNA (433 nucleotides) under uncultured bacterium. RNAcentral's name for it is "partial 16S ribosomal RNA". It matches the Rfam family "Bacterial small subunit ribosomal RNA", at positions 29 to 507 of the family's 1533-position model. The record is from RNAcentral.
AGCGAACGCUGGCGGCAGGCCUAACACAUGCAAGUCGAACGAACUCUUCGGAGUUAGUGGCGGACGGGUGAGUAACACGUGGGAACGUGCCUUUUGGUUCGGAAUAACUCAGGGAAACUUGUGCUAAUACCGAAUGUGCUCUUCGGGGGAAAGAUUUAUCGCCAUUAGAGCGGCCCGCGUCUGAUUAGCUAGUUGGUGAGGUAACGGCUCACCAAGGCGACGAUCAGUAGCUGGUCUGAGAGGAUGACCAGCCACACUGGGACUGAGACACGGCCCAGACUCCUGCGGGAGGCAGCAAUGGGGAAUCUAGCGCAAUGGGCGAAAUCCUGACGCAGCCAUGCCGGGUGAAUGAUGAAGGUCUUAGGAUUGUAAAAUUCUUUCACCGGGGACGAUAAUGACGGUACCCGGAGAAGAAGCCCCGGCUAACUUCGUG